This 944-nucleotide ribosomal RNA is filed under the name Aspiciliella intermutans. Its description in RNAcentral is "partial small subunit ribosomal RNA". It matches the Rfam family "Bacterial small subunit ribosomal RNA", at positions 368 to 1160 of the family's 1533-position model. The record is from RNAcentral. Lineage: Eukaryota; Fungi; Ascomycota; Lecanoromycetes; Pertusariales; Megasporaceae.
AUGUAUAGCGAAAGCUAGUUGCAUUAAAUUCGAUUAAUUCGAAGUUAUUGCAGAAAAGACUAUGUCGAAUAAAGUUCUAGGUAGAGUUAUGAUAAUGACAUUUUCUAUCUAUGUGUCUUGACCAAAUCACGUGCCAGCAGUCGCGGUAAUACGUGGAAGACUAGUGUUAUUCAUCUUUAAUAGGUUUAAAGGGUACUUAGACGGUAUUUUUAGCCCAAAUAAAAACAAAGGGUACUAAUUAUACUAGAGUUUUAUGAGUGGGGGGUGCGUACGAAUGGUGUAGAGAUGAAAUUCUGUCAUACCAUUAUGACAGGCGACGGCGAAAGCAACCUUUAGUUAAAAACUGACGUUAAAGGACGAAGGCUUUGUAUCACCAACAGGAUUAGAUACCCAAGCAGUCUAAGCAGACAAUUAUGAAUGCCAUAGAUAAGAAACCCAUGGAUAAAGAAGAAAACAUGUACUUUUCAGAAUGCCCUUUUUGGGCAUUGGUUUAUUAAAAAAAAUAAACUUCUCCUCUUCACUUCUUCAUUUCUUGGAGAAAGAGAGAAGUCGAGAUGAAAAAAAUGGCUCGUAAUCUUAUCUAUCAUCAUCAUCUUUCAGAUGAUGAAGAAUACAUUUCUUUUAGACAUCGACUAUGUCGAAGUUAACAAAAAAAGAAAUAAGGAUGUAUUUUUGUCUAUAAAUGAAAGUGUAAGCAUUCCACCUCAAGAGUAAAGUGGCAACGCACAAACUGAAAUCAUUAGACCGUUUCUUGAAACCAGUAGUGAAGUAUGUUGUUUAAUUUGAUGGUCCGCAAAAAACCUUACCACAAUUUGUAUAUUAUUAGCUUAAUACAAGAGUUGCACGGCUGUCUUCAGGUUAAUGUCGUGAGAUUUUGGUUAGUUCCAUAAAAUUAACCGUAAAACCCCCACUUUAUUUAUAUUAUAAAGUAGUUCACCGCUAUA